Molecule: long non-coding RNA, 742 nt
Filed under: Sinocyclocheilus grahami
Lineage: Eukaryota; Metazoa; Chordata; Actinopteri; Cypriniformes; Cyprinidae
Description: lncRNA (ENSSGRG00000054854.1)
Source: RNAcentral
GAACAGAUGUGCACAAAAUGCACUCUGCUUUUCCGCUACCAACCUCAGAUGCUAGAUAUGCUGUGGCAAUGUCUCAGACAGCCACAGAGAAAGAGUGUGAGGUAACUGCGUGCUAAUGAACUAGAAGAAAAGUACAGGAACUGACAGUUUGAGGUGGGUGAACCAUAUUCACGAACGCUCACGCUGUCACACGCUAAACUACAAUGCAUCAAGCAACAGACUAUGCUCUCCUGGGAGCAUCAGGAGGGACAUCGCCACCUGCACUGCCCAUCAAACAGCACAGGAGCAGGUCUUCUUCAAGCUCCAUCCAGGAUCUAGAGCUGAAGGUGGGCGAUCUACACUUGCCUGGACCACAGACCCCCGUGUCUCCAUUUACUGAAGUGUUUACUCCUACUUACUGUAAUGCAGUCCACUGUCCAAUACAUCAUCGCUAUGAAAAUCACCAGAUGAGAUUCUUCUCAGAUGAAACUCCACCUCCAGUACCUAAAAAGAGUCUGACGAGAACCCUAUCCCUCCCAGAGGAGACUCUGAACCCACCUUACCACGAUCAUACAAGAACCUGCAACUAUGAAAAUCCCCUAUAUAUGAUAACACCAUUCCACGACACACUUACACUACAAGAGGAAGUGGUACAAGAAGAGAAAUAUCAGGGUCUGUCCUUGCACAAGGUGACCUUUGAUACACCAGAUGAGCAACUUCAAAGUGUCUUUAGAAGCUUCCAGAGCCAUGAGCAAGUUUCCAU